RNAcentral lists this ribosomal RNA (2920 nucleotides) under Klebsiella pneumoniae. Its description in RNAcentral is "23S ribosomal RNA". It matches the Rfam family "Bacterial large subunit ribosomal RNA". Lineage: Bacteria; Pseudomonadati; Pseudomonadota; Gammaproteobacteria; Enterobacterales; Enterobacteriaceae. The record is from RNAcentral.
GGGUUGUGAGGUUAAGCGACUAAGCGUACACGGUGGAUGCCCUGGCAGUCAGAGGCGAUGAAGGACGUGCUAAUCUGCGAAAAGCGUCGGUAAGGUGAUAUGAACCGUUACAGCCGGCGAUGUCCGAAUGGGGAAACCCAGUGCAAUUCGUUGCACUAUCGUUAACUGAAUACAUAGGUUAACGAGGCGAACCGGGGGAACUGAAACAUCUAAGUACCCCGAGGAAAAAAAAUCAACCGAGAUUCCCCAGUAGCGGCGAGCGAACGGGGAGCAGCCCAGAGUCUGAAUCAGCUUGUGUGUUAGUGGAACGGUCUGGAAAGUCCGACGGUACAGGGUGAUAGUCCCGUACACCAAAAUGCACAGGCUGUGAACUCGAAGAGUAGGGCGGGACACGUGGUAUCCUGUCUGAAUAUGGGGGGACCAUCCUCCAAGGCUAAAUACUCCUGACUGACCGAUAGUGAACCAGUACCGUGAGGGAAAGGCGAAAAGAACCCCGGCGAGGGGAGUGAAAAAAGAACCUGAAACCGUGUACGUACAAGCAGUGGGAGCACCUUCGGGUGUGACUGCGUACCUUUUGUAUAAUGGGUCAGCGACUUAUAUUCUGUAGCAAGGUUAACCGUAUAGGGGAGCCGCAGGGAAACCGAGUCUUAACUGGGCGUUAAGUUGCAGGGUAUAGACCCGAAACCCGGUGAUCUAGCCAUGGGCAGGUUGAAGGUUGGGUAACACUAACUGGAGGACCGAACCGACUAAUGUUGAAAAAUUAGCGGAUGACUUGUGGCUGGGGGUGAAAGGCCAAUCAAACCGGGAGAUAGCUGGUUCUCCCCGAAAGCUAUUUAGGUAGCGCCUCGUGAAUUCAUCUUCGGGGGUAGAGCACUGUUUCGGCUAGGGGGUCAUCCCGACUUACCAACCCGAUGCAAACUACGAAUACCGAAGAAUGUUAUCACGGGAGACACACGGCGGGUGCUAACGUCCGUCGUGAAGAGGGAAACAACCCAGACCGCCAGCUAAGGUCCCAAAGUCAUGGUUAAGUGGGAAACGAUGUGGGAAGGCACAGACAGCCGGGAUGUUGGCUUAGAAGCAGCCAUCAUUUAAAGAAAGCGUAAUAGCUCACUGGUCGAGUCGGCCUGCGCGGAAGAUGUAACGGGGCUAAACCAUGCACCGAAGCUGCGGCAGCGACACUAUGUGUUGUUGGGUAGGGGAGCGUUCUGUAAGCCUGCGAAGGUGACCUGUGAGGGUUGCUGGAGGUAUCAGAAGUGCGAAUGCUGACAUAAGUAACGAUAAAGCGGGUGAAAAGCCCGCUCGCCGGAAGACCAAGGGUUCCUGUCCAACGUUAAUCGGGGCAGGGUGAGUCGACCCCUAAGGCGAGGCCGAAAGGCGUAGUCGAUGGGAAACAGGUUAAUAUUCCUGUACUUGGUGUUACUGCGAAGGGGGGACGGAGAAGGCUAUGUUAGCCGGGCGACGGUUGUCCCGGUUUAAGCAUGUAGGCUGGUUAUCGGGCAAAUCCGGAUAAUCAAGGCUGAGGUGUGAUGACGAGGCACUACGGUGCUGAAGUAACAAAUGCCCUGCUUCCGGGGAAAAGCCUCUAAGCAUCAGGUAACAUCAAAUCGUACCCCAAACCGACACAGGUGGUCAGGUAGAGAAUACCAAGGCGCUUGAGAGAACUCGGGUGAAGGAACUAGGCAAAAUGGUGCCGUAACUUCGGGAGAAGGCACGCUGGUGUGUAGGUGAAGUCCCUGCGGAUGGAGCUGAGACCAGUCGAAGAUACCAGCUGGCUGCAACUGUUUAUAAAACACAGCACUGUGCAAACACGAAAGUGGACGUAUACGGUGUGACGCCUGCCCGGUGCCGGAAGGUUAAUUGAUGGGGUUAUCCGUAAGGAGAAGCUCUUGAUCGAAGCCCCGGUAAACGGCGGCCGUAACUAUAACGGUCCUAAGGUAGCGAAAUUCCUUGUCGGGUAAGUUCCGACCUGCACGAAUGGCGUAAUGAUGGCCAGGCUGUCUCCACCCGAGACUCAGUGAAAUUGAACUCGCUGUGAAGAUGCAGUGUACCCGCGGCAAGACGGAAAGACCCCGUGAACCUUUACUAUAGCUUGACACUGAACAUUGAGCCUUGAUGUGUAGGAUAGGUGGGAGGCUUUGAAGCGUGGACGCCAGUCUGCGUGGAGCCAACCUUGAAAUACCACCCUUUAAUGUUUGAUGUUCUAACGUUGGCCCCUGACCGGGGUUGCGGACAGUGUCUGGUGGGUAGUUUGACUGGGGCGGUCUCCUCCCAAAGCGUAACGGAGGAGCACGAAGGUUAGCUAAUCUGGUCGGACAUCAGGAGGUUAGUGCAAUGGCAUAAGCUAGCUUGACUGCGAGCGUGACGGCGCGAGCAGGUGCGAAAGCAGGUCAUAGUGAUCCGGUGGUUCUGAAUGGAAGGGCCAUCGCUCAACGGAUAAAAGGUACUCCGGGGAUAACAGGCUGAUACCGCCCAAGAGUUCAUAUCGACGGCGGUGUUUGGCACCUCGAUGUCGGCUCAUCACAUCCUGGGGCUGAAGUAGGUCCCAAGGGUAUGGCUGUUCGCCAUUUAAAGUGGUACGCGAGCUGGGUUUAGAACGUCGUGAGACAGUUCGGUCCCUAUCUGCCGUGGGCGCUGGAGAAUUGAGGGGGGCUGCUCCUAGUACGAGAGGACCGGAGUGGACGCAUCACUGGUGUUCGGGUUGUCAUGCCAAUGGCACUGCCCGGUAGCUAAAUGCGGAAGAGAUAAGUGCUGAAAGCAUCUAAGCACGAAACUUGCCCCGAGAUGAGUUCUCCCUGAGACUUUAAGUCUCCUGAAGGAACGUUGAAGACGACGACGUUGAUAGGCCGGGUGUGUAAGCGCAGCGAUGCGUUGAGCUAACCGGUACUAAUGAACCGUGAGGCUUAACCUUACAACGCCGAAG